Molecule: long non-coding RNA, 448 nt
Filed under: Lathyrus oleraceus (garden pea)
Lineage: Eukaryota; Viridiplantae; Streptophyta; Magnoliopsida; Fabales; Fabaceae
Description: Pisum sativum (pea) long non-coding RNA (PSAT_LNC028619)
Source: RNAcentral
UUAAAUCCAAUAGUUUUCAAAGUCAAUCACAAGCUAAUUAAAUCUCAAUUCCAUAAAAUCCAUAUUUAUUCAUGAUUAUUUAUACAUUUAACAUUACAUCCCAUUACACCAUACAUAACAUUCCCCUUUAUAAUACAAUAGGAAAAGAAAAGAAGCUUUAAACUACUUGAUGGAGCUUGUAGCCACCGUUUCCAUGUUGCACCCAAGAGUUUCACCAAUGUUGGAACGACAUCACCUUGAUAACUAACAACAAACCAACUCUUAGCAAAUCAAAUAGAUUCAUGGCACAUGAAGCCUGCAAGAAAAACCAGUUCACAAUUUAACCAACUCUUAGCAAAUCAAAUAGAUUCAUGGCACAUGAAGCCUGCAAGAAAAACCAGUUCACAAUUAACCCAAACAUCCUAACCAAGCUUCAUAAAUCCAAACUCACAUUCUAACUUAAACCUGG